CAAUAGCGUAUAUUAAAGUUGUUGCAGUUAAAAAGCUCGUAGUUGGAUUUGUGGCGUACGGUGUGUUCCGGGCACUUGUUGUCUGAGUAACCUGCUGUUGCCAUCCUUGGGUGGAACCUGUGUGGCAUUAGGUUGUCGUGCAGGGGAUGCCCAUCAUUUACUGUGAAAAAAUUAGAGUGUUCAAAGCAGGCUUAUGCCGUUGAAUAUAUUAGCAUGGAAUAAUGAGAUAGGACUUUUUUGCUAUUUUGUUGGUUUGCGCAAAGAGGUAAUGAUUAAUAGGGACAGUUGGGGGUAUUCGUAUUCCAUUGUCAGAGGUGAAAUUCUUGGAUUUUUUGAAGACGAACUACUGCGAAAGCAUUUACCAAGGAUGUUUUCAUUAA
This 380-nucleotide ribosomal RNA is filed under the name uncultured eukaryote. Its description in RNAcentral is "partial 18S ribosomal RNA". It matches the Rfam family "Eukaryotic small subunit ribosomal RNA", at positions 592 to 976 of the family's 1831-position model. The record is from RNAcentral.